GAUGAAGAACGUAGCGAAAUGCGAUAAGUAGUGUGAAUUGCAGAAUUCAGUGAAUCAUCGAAUCUUUGAACGCACAUUGCGCCCUUUGGUAUUCCUUAGGGCAUGCCUGUUCGAGCGUCAUUUAAACCUUCAAGCUAAGCUUGGUGUUGGGUGACUGUCCGCUUCACGGCGGACUCGCCUCAAAAUUAUUGGCGGCCGGUACAUUGGCUUCGAGCGCAGCAGAAACGCGAACUCGGGCCCGUCGUAUUGGCCCCCAGAAGCUAUCUUCACAAUUUUGACCUCGGAUCAGGUAGGGAUACCCGCUGAACUUAAGCAUAUCAAUAAGCGGAGGA
Molecule: unclassified non-coding RNA, 332 nt
Filed under: soil metagenome
Description: partial contains 5.8S ribosomal RNA, internal transcribed spacer 2, and large subunit ribosomal RNA
Rfam family: 5.8S ribosomal RNA (bases 1-120)
Source: RNAcentral